UACGGGGGGGGCAAGCGUUGUUCGGAAUUACUGGGCGUAAAGGGCGCGUAGGCGGCCUGCUAAGUCGGACGUGAAAUCCCUCGGCUUAACCGAGGAAUUGCGCUCCAAACUACUGUGCUUGAGGAAUCUAGAGGUGAGCGGAACUGAUGGUGGAGCGGUGAAAUGCGUUGAUAUCAUCAGGAACACCGGAGGCGAAGGCGGCUCACUGGGGAUUUUCUGACGCUGAGGGACGAAAGCCAGGGGAGCGAACGGG
RNAcentral lists this ribosomal RNA (253 nucleotides) under uncultured bacterium. RNAcentral's name for it is "partial 16S ribosomal RNA". It matches the Rfam family "Bacterial small subunit ribosomal RNA", at positions 524 to 776 of the family's 1533-position model. The record is from RNAcentral.